Long non-coding RNA from Toxotes jaculatrix (banded archerfish), 227 nucleotides. RefSeq lists it as uncharacterized. Lineage: Eukaryota; Metazoa; Chordata; Actinopteri; Toxotidae. The record is from RefSeq and is a predicted model, not a curated record. The transcript has 3 exons.
AUGAGCACGGACUACUCCCUCCCCCCUUUUGAUCCCAGCAAUCCAGUUGGUAUGGAGGUCUUAGUCCCAAAGACCGGUUUCUUUUGUACGGUAUGUAAUCGAUUCUUCAGCGGAACCAGAGAAGCUGAGAUCAACCACUGCAGAACCAUCAAACACUACGAGAACCUAAAGAAAUACCUGCAGACUGAGAAGACGGUGAAUGUGACGGACAAACCAGACCCCAGCUG